UCUGGUUGAUCCUGCCAGUAGUCAUAUGCUUGUCUCAAAGACUAAGCCAUGCAUGUCUAAGUAUGAAUGAUACAUAGUGAAACUGCGAAUGGCUCAUUAAAACAGUUAUAGUUUAUUUGAUAAUCAAAUUUACAUGGAUAACCGUGGUAAUUCUAGAGCUAAUACAUGCUGUUUGGCCUGACUUUUAGGAAGGGCUGUAUUUAUUAGAUAACAAACCAAUAACGGGUAACGGAGGAUUAGGGUUCGAUUCCGGAGAGGGAGCCUGAGAAACGGCUACCACAUCUAAGGAAGGCAGCAGGCGCGUAAAUUACCCAAUCCUAAUUCAGGGAGGUAGUGACAAGAAAUAACGGACUGAGGCUUAUGCCUCAGGAUUGCAAUGAGUAGAAUUUAAACCCCUUUAUGAGGAUCAAUUGGAGGGCAAGUCUGGUGCCAGCAGCCGCGGUAAUUCCAGCUCCAAUAGCAUAUAUUAAAGUUGUUGCAGUUAAAAAGCUCGUAGUUGAAUUUCUGGAGGGAUCCCAAUGUCGGCUUGAUGCUUGUGCAGCGGGGUCCUUCCAUCCUUCUGUUAACGUUUCACGGUAUUAACUUACUGGUUGCGGGCUCAGAUAUUUUACCUUGAGAAAAUUAGAGUGUUUCAGGCAGGCUUGCGCUUGAAUACAUUAGCAUGGAAUAAUAGAAUAGGACUUUAGUCUCCUUUGUUGGUUUGAGGGACUGGAGUAAUGAUUAAUAGGGACAGUUGGGGGCAUUAGUAUUUAAUUGUCAGAGGUGAAAUUCUCGGAUUUGUUAAAGACUAACUUAUGCGAAAGCAUUUGCCAAGGAUGUUUUCAUUAAUC
Molecule: ribosomal RNA, 830 nt
Filed under: uncultured soil eukaryote
Lineage: Eukaryota
Description: SSU rRNA
Rfam family: Eukaryotic small subunit ribosomal RNA
Source: RNAcentral